Long non-coding RNA from Prosopis cineraria, 1347 nucleotides. RefSeq lists it as uncharacterized. NCBI's taxonomy places the organism in Eukaryota, Viridiplantae, Streptophyta, Magnoliopsida, Fabales, Fabaceae. The record is from RefSeq and is a predicted model, not a curated record. The transcript has 2 exons.
UGGUGGAUCACUGGUUGAUAGCCCAUCACAGGACAAAUACUCCUCAUCAACUGAGAUCUGCAUGAGUAAUAGAAGAGACAAGAUGCAGAUUGUUGAAAGUGAAGAGAGCCGUAUGAAGAUGAUGGAGGCAGCACUUGAAGAAGAGAGAGCUGCCUAUGCUGCUCUUUGUUUAGAGCUAGAGAAAGAGAGGUCUGCUGCUGCAACUGCUGCUGAUGAAGCAAUGGCAAUGAUAUCUCGUCUGCAGGAAGAGAAGGCCUUCAUAGAAAUUGAAACUAGGCAAUACCAGAGGAUGAUAGAGGAAAAAGUUGCUUAUGAGGAAGAAGAGAUGAAUAUUCUGCAAGAAAUUCUUAUAAGAAGGGAAGAGAGAAUCAUUUUCUUGAAAAGGAACUUGAGGGUUAUAGACAGAUGAACUUAAGAGUAAGUGAGCAAUCAAAUGGAAAGUCAAAUUUGCAGCUAGAUGAAUUGGGACAAAGGCCGUCAUUUUCAGCGGAAACACAUGAAGAUCACCUGCAGACUAACAGUUCCAUUUCAAUGGCCAAGAUUGCUGAAAUAGCACAUCUUCAAUCAAAUCAUAGAGUGGAUCAAACUUGUAUCAGAUUAAAUGAUGGAGAAGAGCUAAAGAAAACAGACAACUCAAGGAUCAAUAUCAUGGCAAUCUGCCCAGUUCUUUCCUUGAUACUGAGCCAGAUGUUCUUGAUGUACAUGUCAUAGAUGACAACAUAGAACUUAAGAAAGAGGAAGUUGAAAAGACAAAUGGCUUUUCAUUCAAUGCUGUUUCAGAUGAACCCAGAGAUGAUGAUCUCACUUCAGGAAGUCUCAAAGUUCUGAACAGUAUUGCAGUGAGUAAAUUUUCAAGGGUAAGCAAGGCAGAAAGCGGUGAUGGUGCUGAUGCCAAUGCUAAUGAGAAGUUAAGGAUUGGCACUGAGCUUGAGAUUCUUGGAGAAAGGCUGAGGAUGCUAAAGCAUGGAAAGGAUAAAUUGACUUUCUUUUCAGAGAAUGAAGAAAGUAAAAGGAUCCAGCUGAAGCUUCUGGAGGAGAUAGCAAACCAUCUUCAAGAGAUAAAACAGCUGAGAAACCCUGUCCGUGGGUCUUCCUUGCCCCCCUCAUCUGCUAAGGUGAGUUUGAAGAAAAGACGCAGCCAAAGUGCUACUUGGAAGACCUCUGAAAGCUCCUAAAUCUUGUACUAUAAAGUGUAUAAUAAGUGUAUGAAAGCCAUCUUAGUUUACAUAUAAUUUACCAGAACUUCUUUUUGCUCCUUGUUCGUUUUAGAAUGUAAAUAUCCUUAGUAGUUCCCUGAGUGGUCAAAACAUUUUUGUAUUGGAGAAAAUUCAGUUGCAGCUUUUUUAA